GGUGGCGCACAUCUUUAAUCCCAGCACUUGGGAGGCAGAGGCAGACGGAUCUCUGUGAGUUUGAGGCCAGCCUGGUCUACAAAUCGAGUUCCAGAAUAGCCAGGCCUACACAGAGGAGUCAUGUCUUGACAAAACAAACAAAAGCUUAUUGGAAGCUUAUUGGAUGGAUGAAUGAAUGGAUUCACCCUUCCACUGUCAGUUAAGGGACUUACUAUGAGUGAGAUGAAGCUGUAAAGGUGAAUGAGGGUCACACUAGGAUGGUGCUUAGUUGCUAACCAUGGCGUUCGGAUGCUCUACUCUGAAGAAUGGGGUGUUGCCAACAGUUAUCCAGGGACGGAGAGGCAUGGUCAGCACUGAGAAAGAUUGGAAGGUGAUCAUGGCUCCACCAAACCUCAGACUGUAACCUCUCCUCAGGCUGGAGAAUCCUGAGAGUUCAAUGUCUUCCAAUCCUCAAUGUGGCUGGAGAAUGAAUGCCUGAUACUGACUACUGAAGACCCUGCUCCUAUCUUUUAUACCCCUCUAGUGUGAUUCCAGGUGCUGAGAUCAUCUUUGUGUGAGCUAUUUCUCUUUAGGACUGGAUCAGUCUUGUGUAGAUCUGGUGGCCUUGGACUCAGAGAUCUGUCUACUUGUUAAUCCUGAGUCCUAGGAUUAAAGUCCAUUUCUGCAAAACCUGAAAGCCUUCCACACACCAAGUCCUACCCUGAACCCUAGAGGUAUGAGAACAGAAGAAACAGAGAUCCACCUUCAAAAGCUGCUGGACCUUGGCCUUCAUCCAGCAGCUGGUGGAAGUAGAAGCAGACACCCACAACUAAUCACCGAACUGAACUGGAACUCAGAUGCAGAGAAGGACGAGUGAUGAGCAAAGGGGUCCAGACCAGGCUGGUGAAACCCACAGAAACAGCUGACCUGAACAACGGGGAGCUCUUGGUCCCCAGACUGAUAGCAAGGAAACCAGCAUGGGACUGAUCCAGAUCCCAGGAACGUGGAUUUCAGUGAGGAGACC
RNAcentral lists this long non-coding RNA (1003 nucleotides) under Cricetulus griseus (Chinese hamster). Its description in RNAcentral is "lncRNA (ENSCGRG00015037217.1)". The record is from RNAcentral. Lineage: Eukaryota; Metazoa; Chordata; Mammalia; Rodentia; Cricetidae.